RNAcentral lists this ribosomal RNA (484 nucleotides) under uncultured bacterium. RNAcentral's name for it is "partial 16S ribosomal RNA". It matches the Rfam family "Bacterial small subunit ribosomal RNA", at positions 28 to 523 of the family's 1533-position model. The record is from RNAcentral.
GACGAACGCUGGCGGCGUGCUUUACACAUGCAAGUCGAACGGUGACCUCGGAGCUUGCUCCGGGCGAUCAGUGGCGAACGGGUGAGUAACACGUGAGUAACCUGCCCCACACUCUGGGAUAACUCCGGGAAACCGGUGCUAAUACUGGAUACGAACCGCACGGGCAUCCGUAGCGGUUGGAAAGUUUUUCGGUGAGGGAUGGACUCGCGGCCUAUCAGCUAGUUGGUGGAGUAAUAGCCCACCAAGGCGACGACGGGUAGCCGGCCUGAGAGGGCGACCGGCCACACUGGGACUGAGACACGGCCCAGACUCCUACGGGAGGCAGCAGUGGGGAAUAUUGCACAAUGGGCGAAAGCCUGAUGCAGCGACGCCGCGUGAGGGAUGACGGCCUUCGGGUUGUAAACCUCUUUCAGUAGGGAAGAAGCGAAAGUGACGGUACCUACAGAAGAAGCACCGGCUAACUACGUGCCAGCCGCCGCCGUAA